Pantherophis guttatus is the source of this 588-nucleotide long non-coding RNA. RefSeq lists it as uncharacterized. Lineage: Eukaryota; Metazoa; Chordata; Lepidosauria; Squamata; Colubridae. The record is from RefSeq and is a predicted model, not a curated record.
CAAAGAACAAUACAACUUCAUUCAUUGGACGCCCUCUUCUCUUGUGAGCUUUUAUAUGCUGUGUUUUUUCCAUCAAUGGCCUUCCCAUGUCCAGCCCAGGAAUGGAAGGAAUGAGCUAAGACCCUGGAGAAUCUGUUUUCCUCCCUUUUACAGUUGCUUCCCGGGAAUGGAUUCAAAACAAGCCUCUAACAAAAGCAGAGAUGUGCCAGGUUUCACAGAAUAAUGGCUGCAGGUCAGAUAAUGGCCUGAGAUAGUCCCCACAUCUUUUUUUAUACCAUGGUGACCAAAACUGGAUGCAAUAUUCCAAGUAUGGCCUUACUGAGGCAUUAUAUGAUGCAGCCUAGGACCGCGUUGGCUUUUUUUGGCAGCUGCAACACACUGCUAUCUCGUAUUUAAGUGAUUGUCUACCAGGACUCCCAGAUUCCUCUCGCAGUUACUACUACUGAACCAGGUGGAUCUACUCCAAAACCUCAGCACUUGGAUUGCCCCAAAAUCAAGCAUCUCUCUGUACAAUCUGUAUGUUGAAAAAGCAUUUUCUUUUAAUAUCUAUCCAUUUCCAUAUGUCAGCUACUAUAUUCUCCCUUCCUC